RNAcentral lists this ribosomal RNA (253 nucleotides) under uncultured bacterium. RNAcentral describes it as "partial 16S ribosomal RNA". It matches the Rfam family "Bacterial small subunit ribosomal RNA", at positions 524 to 776 of the family's 1533-position model. The record is from RNAcentral.
UACGUAGGGGGCUAGCGUUGUCCGGAAUCAUUGGGCGUAAAGCGCGCGUAGGCGGCCCGGUAAGUCCGUUGUGAAAGUCAAAGGCUCAACCUUUGAAAGCCGAUGGAUACUGCCGGGCUAGAGUCCGGAAGAGGCGAGUGGAAUUCCUGGUGUAGCGGUGGAAUGCGCAGAUAUCAGGAAGAACACCAAUGGCGAAGGCAGCUCUCUGGGACGGUACUGACGCUGAGACGCGAAAGCGUGGGGAGCGAACAGG